UGUCCUGAUGAUACUUGUAAUAGGAAGUGCCGUCAGAAGCGAUAACUGACGACGUUUAACGUCUAUCUGACC
Molecule: small nucleolar RNA, 72 nt
Organism: Cercocebus atys (sooty mangabey)
Lineage: Eukaryota; Metazoa; Chordata; Mammalia; Primates; Cercopithecidae
Source: Ensembl